Molecule: long non-coding RNA, 201 nt
Filed under: Physcomitrium patens
Lineage: Eukaryota; Viridiplantae; Streptophyta; Bryopsida; Funariales; Funariaceae
Description: long non-coding RNA (PPAT_LNC001836)
Source: RNAcentral
UGGAGCUCUUAUUAGCUUCAUUAGACCUUUCAGUCAUUGUUGAUGAAAGUGAAGACAUUCCAUGUGACAAUGUUGAUGAGAAGGUGAAAAAAGAAUACAAACGAUGUGAAAGGAAGGCUUUUGGCAUGAUUGCUACAAAUCUUCAUGAUACUAAUUUUUUACAUAUAAUUGCUUACACUGGACUAGUGGAAGCAUGGAAGA